AACGCGAAGAACCUUACCAACUCUUGACAUCCCAUUGACCGCUUGAGAGAUCAAGUUUUCCCUUCGGGGACAAUGGUGACAGGUGGUGCAUGGUUGUCGUCAGCUCGUGUCGUGAGAUGUUGGGUUAAGUCCCGCAACGAGCGCAACCCCUAUCCUUAGUUGCCAGCAUUCAGUUGGGCACUCUAGGGAGACUGCCGGUGACAAACCGGAGGAAGGUGGGGAUGACGUCAAAUCAUCAUGCCCCUUAUGAGUUGGGCUACACACGUGCUACAAUGGACGGUACAAAGGGCAGCGAGACCGCGAGGUGGAGCCAAUCCCAUAAAGCCGUUCCCAGUUCGGAUUGCAGGCUGCAACUCGCCUGCAUGAAGUCGGAAUCGCUAGUAAUCGCAGGUCAGCAUACUGCGGUGAAUACGUUCCCGGGCCUUGUACACACCGUAGUAC
This 441-nucleotide ribosomal RNA is filed under the name uncultured bacterium. RNAcentral describes it as "bacterial SSU rRNA". It matches the Rfam family "Bacterial small subunit ribosomal RNA", at positions 958 to 1398 of the family's 1533-position model. The record is from RNAcentral.